CCCACCACUGUGAAUAGGCGUAUAUUUAAUAUACAUACACAAUUCUGGCACCUAAAGUCUAGGUAAAACGUGUGAAAGGUAGUAAAAUGUAUCAUUAUUAUAUUACUGCAUAAGAAUAGUGGCAGGAUUUGCAUUCCUUCACAUUCCAAUCAUCACUAGCCUUUGUUACUCUUCAAGAUUUGCUACAGCCAGGAUCUCACACUUUUCUAAUGUAGAACAUGAUAACUGUUAGAAGUUAGUGUAUCUUUUUUUAAAUCGUUUGCAGGGCACUGUAGGCUAAUUGCUGGCAAUGUACCUAAUUAUUAUUUAAUUAUAAAAUAUUUUAC
Molecule: non-coding RNA, 326 nt
Organism: Pelobates cultripes (western spadefoot toad)
Lineage: Eukaryota; Metazoa; Chordata; Amphibia; Anura; Pelobatidae
Source: the annotation of a GenBank genome assembly